CAGCCGCCGCGGUAAAACGUAGGGUGCAAGCGUUAAUCGGAAUUACUGGGCGUAAAGCGUGCGCAGGCGGUUAUAUAAGACAGAUGUGAAAUCCCCGGGCUCAACCUGGGAACUGCAUUUGUGACUGUAUAGCUAGAGUACGGCAGAGGGGGAUGGAAUUCCGCGUGUAGCAGUGAAAUGCGUAGAUAUGCGGAGGAACACCGAUGGCGAAGGCAAUCCCCUGGGCCUGUACUGACGCUCAUGCACGAAAGCGUGGGGAGCAAACAGGAUUAGAUACCCCCGUAGUCCCUGUCUCUUAUAC
RNAcentral lists this ribosomal RNA (301 nucleotides) under uncultured bacterium. RNAcentral describes it as "partial 16S ribosomal RNA". It matches the Rfam family "Bacterial small subunit ribosomal RNA", at positions 509 to 807 of the family's 1533-position model. The record is from RNAcentral.